This 765-nucleotide ribosomal RNA is filed under the name uncultured Streptococcus sp. RNAcentral's name for it is "bacterial SSU rRNA". It matches the Rfam family "Bacterial small subunit ribosomal RNA", at positions 28 to 776 of the family's 1533-position model. The record is from RNAcentral. Lineage: Bacteria; Bacillati; Bacillota; Bacilli; Lactobacillales; Streptococcaceae.
GAUGAACGCUGGCGGCGUGCCUAAUACAUGCAAGUAGAACGCUGAAGCUUGGUGCUUGCACCGAGCGGAUGAGUUGCGAACGGGUGAGUAACGCGUAGGUAACCUGCCUCUUAGCGGGGGAUAACUAUUGGAAACGAUAGCUAAUACCGCAUAAAAGUCGAUAUCGCAUGAUAUUGAUUUGAAAGGUGCAAAUGCAUCACUAAGAGAUGGACCUGCGUUGUAUUAGCUAGUUGGUGAGGUAACGGCUCACCAAGGCGACGAUACAUAGCCAACCUGAGAGGGUGAUCGGCCACACUGGGACUGAGACACGGCCCAGACUCCUACGGGAGGCAGCAGUAGGGAAUCUUCGGCAAUGGGGGCAGCCCUGACCGAGCAACGCCGCGUGAGUGAAGAAGGUUUUCGGAUCGUAAAGCUCUGUUGUAAGAGAAGAACGAGUGUGAGAGUGGAAAGUUCACACUGUGACGGUAACUUACCAGAAAGGGACGGCUAACUACGUGCCAGCAGCCGCGGUAAUACGUAGGUCCCGAGCGUUAUCCGGAUUUAUUGGGCGUAAAGCGAGCGCAGGCGGUUAGAUAAGUCUGAAGUUAAAGGCUGUGGCUUAACCAUAGUACGCUUUGGAAACUGUUUAACUUGAGUGCAGAAGGGGAGAGUGGAAUUCCAUGUGUAGCGGUGAAAUGCGUAGAUAUAUGGAGGAACACCGGUGGCGAAAGCGGCUCUCUGGUCUGUAACUGACGCUGAGGCUCGAAAGCGUGGGGAGCAAACAGG